UGGGGAAUAUUGCACAAUGGAGGGAACUCUGAUGCAGCGACGCCGCGUGAACGAAGAAGGCUUUCGAGUCGUAAAGUUCUGUUAUAUGGGAAGAUAAUGACGGUACCAUAAGAAAAAGCCCCGGCUAACUACGUGCCAGCAGCCGCGGUAAUACGUAGGGGGCUAGCGUUGUCCGGAAUCACUGGGCGUAAAGGGUUCGCAGGCGGAAAUGCAAGUCAGGUGUAAAAGGCAGUAGCUUAACUACUGUAAGCAUUUGAAACUGCAUAUCUUGGGAAGAGUAGAGGUAAGUGGAAUUUUUAGUGUAGCGGUGAAAUGCGUAGAUAUUAAAAAGAAUACCGGUGGCGAAGGCGACUUACUGGGCUCAUUCUGACGCUGAGGAACGAAAGCGUGGGUAGCAAACAGG
This 403-nucleotide ribosomal RNA is filed under the name Fusobacteriota bacterium. RNAcentral's name for it is "Fusobacteria bacterium partial 16S ribosomal RNA". It matches the Rfam family "Bacterial small subunit ribosomal RNA", at positions 355 to 776 of the family's 1533-position model. Lineage: Bacteria; Fusobacteriati; Fusobacteriota. The record is from RNAcentral.